CCGUGCGAGGCUAAGCGGACGGUGGCGCUCCCCCCCGAGGUGUGUGUGCGUGUGCGUGUGUGUGCGUCCGUGUGGGUGCGUGCGGCGCCGGUGUUCGUGUGCCCAGGGGAUCCGUAGACGAGUGUGGUGGUGGUGGAGGCUGUGGUGGAGGCGGCGAUGGUGGCAGCUGUGGUGGUGGCGGCGGUGGUGGUGGUGAUGUGAUAAGUUGGAAGUCUCGUGUCCUUUUUUUUAACACCUGUGCCUCGACCCACCUUGACUCCUCUCGAUCCCUCCUUUCCUCCCACGUUUUCCUCUCCUUCUUCAUCUGCUUAUCUUCCUCUCCGUCUUUUCUCUCCCCCUUCUCUCUUCUCACUCAACUUCUCCUUUUUUUCCUCUACUUCCUCGUCCCCUCCACUCACCACCACGGCCACGCCUCCCCCCUUCUAUCCCUUCCUCCUCCCCCGCCACCACGCCCUCACCCCCCCCUCGCCGCCCCCAGAGUGCCAGUGCCAGGUGCCACAGGGGCCGCGUCGCUCUCGACAUGGGAUGACCACGAACAUGACAGAUGCUCCAACCUUCGGGCUGGCGUCAGGGGAAGCCCGGAGCGGGGCGGGGUGACGUGGCCUUUUUAAGGAGCCCCUGGGGUGUCCACGACCCCCAGGGGAAAAUCGGCGACACGCGCCCACGCCCCCCAUCCCAUCACACCCACCAUGAACAUCGCCAAGCUGCGACACACGCUGAUGCGGUCUCGGACGCCCACGGGCGCCGAGAUGAAGCAACAGAACAGCCUGGAGGUGCCGCCGCAGGUGCGCUCCGCCUCCUUCGACGAAAUGCAGCUCAAGCCGAGUCGCCGCGAAUCGUCGUCGUCGUCGUCGCCCGCAGAACGCCAGUCGUUUCUUCUGCGCGUGCCCUACCUGGGCCCAAAGCGCUCCAAGAGCUUCGACUCUGGCUGCGGCGACGUGGACGACACCGAUUCGUCGUCCCGAAAGAAGACCUCGCGGCCGUCGUCGCUGGACAAGAGCAGCCAGCAGUGCGUGCACUGCAUCUACCUGGAGGAGCUGGCGCGCCGCUUCGGAGGCGGACCGCGGCGCAUCUCCUACAACACCUCACUAGACAUGGUCAGCAGCCUCGACAGCUCGAGGGAGGAGGUCGAAGACGAGGACGACGACUGGGACGACGACGACAGCUCAAGCGACGAACUGCACGAGGUCAUAUGCGGCAUCAAGGUCACGCUGAGCCCCAAUUCGCCGUCGUCUGCGUCGCCAACGCAGGAGGAGGCGCCGCUGCCCGCCGCGCCGCCCCGCACGAAGCCCGCCUCGCCCAAGCUGGAGCGGCAGCCCGCCGUCUUCUGCAUGAACACCAGCGCCGAACUCAGCUCGCAGGAAAACAGCUUCGACCUGAGCGACGGCGGCUACAGCCACCACGGCUCGUACCUGUACCUGGGCUCCUCGAGCGAGUAUGGCGACGGGGAGCAGGGCGGCGAGGCGGCGGCGCCUGUGGGGGAGGUGGCGGUGCCCGGGGGGGAGCGCCCGCGGGAGGGAGUCACCGACGUGUUCCUGGAGGUGCCGGCCCGCAGGGAUCGGGCUGCGUCGCUGGACAUAUCCUUCGCCAGCUUCCCCAAGCCCGAGGAGCUCAGCAAGAGCUCUCCCGCCGGGCUCACCCGCUCAUGCUCCCUCGAGCCGCCCAAGGCGCUGCGCUCCAAAAGCAUCGACAUUGAGCUGCCGACGGAGGAGGACGGCGACUACAAGGUGGUGGUGACGUCGCCCAAGUCUGCCAAGAAGGCUAUCAACUCAGAGGUCGAGAUCCAGUGCGAGAAUGGCGAGCGUCGCGUCCUGCGCUCCACCUGCGACUGGAACGAAGGAGCCAUCAACGGCGACCACCUCUGGUGCCCCACCUCCGCCUCGGGGGACUUCUGCUACGUCGGCGAGGACUACUGCUGCAAAUCCGGGGCGCGCAUGAAGUGUUCGGCAUGCAAGAUCAUCGCUCACACAGGCUGCAUCGCUGCUCUGGUCGAGAAGGUCAAGUUUCCGUGCAAGCCGACCUUCCGUGAUGUGGGGCCGCGCCAGUACCGGGAGCAGACGGCCACGCACCACCACUGGGUCCAUCGGCGGAACCAGAAGGGAAAAUGCAAGCAGUGUGGCAAGGGUUUCCAGUCGAAGCUGCUUUUCGGCUCCAAGGAGAUCGUGGCCAUCAGUUGUUCGUGGUGCAAGUCCGCGUACCACAACAAGGAAAGCUGCUUCAACAUCAGCAAAAUUGAGGAGACAUGUUCGCUCGGCAUCCACCAAAGCAUCAUCGUUCCUCCCUCGUGGAUUGUGAAGCUCCCUCGUCGCGGCUCCUUCAAGUCCUCGCUUCGGAAGUCGCCCAAGAAACGUAGCUCGACCAAGAGAAAGAGCAGGGACAAGGUGAGUAAUGACAAGGACACGCGGCCGUUCGCAAUCAAGCCCAUUCCCAGCGUUAACAUCAAGCCCCUCAUCGUCUUCAUCAACCCCAAGAGUGGCGGCAACCAGGGAGCCAAGCUGAUGCAGAAGUUCCAGUGGCUGCUGAACCCUCGGCAGGUGUUCGAUCUCACUCAGGGUGGCCCCAAGGCAGGGCUCGAGAUGUUUCGCAAGGUGACUAACCUACGGGUGCUGGCCUGCGGCGGGGACGGCACGGUGGGCUGGGUGCUUUCUGUGCUCGACCAACUCAACUUCCAGCCGCCCCCUGCAGUCGCCGUCCUUCCUCUGGGCACUGGCAAUGACUUGGCGCGAGCACUGGGCUGGGGAGGCGGCUACACGGACGAGCCAAUCAGCAAGAUCCUGUGCAACAUAGCGGACGGGGAGGUUGUGCACCUGGACAGAUGGCGCGUUGAUGUGACAAAGAAUGAAGACUUUGAGCCCACAGAGGAAGGCCGAGACACGCUUCCUCUCAGCGUGGUCAACAAUUACUUCUCCUUCGGUGUUGACGCUCACAUCGCCCUGGAGUUCCAUGAAGCAAGAGAGGCCAACCCACAGAAGUUCAACUCUCGCCUGCGCAACAAGAUGUUCUAUGGGCAGGCCGGUGGGAAGGACCUCCUGCAGCGGAAAUGGAAGGACCUGUCGGACAACUGCACGCUGGAGUGUGACGGCAAGGACAUGACCCCCAUCCUGAAGGAGAACAAGGUGCAUGCAGUGGUCUUCCUCAACAUUCCCAGCUAUGGUUCUGGCACUCACCCUUGGAAUAGAAGCAGCGGCAUUGAACAGCAGACAGAUGACGGCAUUAUUGAAGUCAUUGGCCUCACCACAUACCAAAUGCCUUUGCUCCAGGCGGGAGGGCACGGCACCACCAUCUGUCAGUGCAAGCAGGCCAGAAUCAUCACCAAGAAGACAAUCCCCAUGCAAGUGGAUGGUGAGGCGGCGCGCGUCAACCCAAGCAUCAUCGAGCUCACCCACCUCAACAAGGCAUCGAUGGUGACCAAGAAGAAGGCGAAGUCUGUCACGAUACCCCACUUGGAGCAGCUUCGCCUACAGGUGUCUCGCAUCACCAUGUUCGACUACGAGCAGCAUCAUUACGACAAGGAGAAGCUCCGCGCCAAUUCCACCUCCAUCGGCCUCAUCAUGAUUGACCAAGAUGCCGACCUAGAGCAGGUUCGCAAGCACAUCAAUAGAAUGAUGGAAGAAACCACCAACCGGAGUCGCCCCAGCAAGCCUUUGUCCGAGAGCUGGUGCUUCGUGGAUUCCUGUACUGCCGAGAGGUUCUUCCGUAUUGACCGGGCACAGGAACACCUUCACUAUGUCACCGACAUCUGCACGGAAGAUCUCUUCGUGCUGGACCCAGAACUCACUGAUCCCACCAACGUCGGUGGAGUAAGAGGGGAUGUCAGCGUGGACAACGACAUUGACCACAGUGAGCGGCUCGCUAUGGUAAGCGACAGUGACUCAGGAGUGGGUGGGAACGAAGCCGACCACAGGAUCCCGCCCUCGGCCCUCACCACACGCCAGGACUCCUCCGAUGCAGGAGAGGAGGAGGUGGCCCACAGCUUGCAUGAUCGUGUCUUUGGUCCAGAGUACUUCCCUCCCAGUCACCUGCUAGAAAAGAACUCAGACGGAAUCAUCAAGGCAGCCAAGCAAGGAGACCUGAAGAUGCUGAAGGACCUCCACUCCCAGGGCUACUCACUUCUCUCCAUUGAUUCGCAUGGACAAACUGCACUACAUUUUGGAGCAAGACACGGCUUCAAGGACAUUGUGCGCUACCUCAUAGCCUCGGCUCCAGCAUCCAUCCUUGACAUGGUGGACAAUGAGAGGGGACAGACAGCGCUGCACCAGGCUGCCCAGAACCGUCGGCGCACUGUCUGCUGCAUGCUGGUUGCGGCUGGUGCCUCCCUCACCAUAAGGGACUUGCAGGGCAACACACCGCGAGCACUAGCACAGCAUGCAGAUGACCAGGAACUUGCUGCAUACUUGGAGAGCCAAGAGAAAUUCACCCAACCCAACAAUUGUAAUCACAAUUUCGUUGACUAAGCUAAACGACCCAUAACAUCCAAAGCUAAAAAAGGCAAACACUUCGCUAGGUAACGGCCAGGAGCAGUUUCAAAACAUGGUACACGAGGACCUUGAGACCACAGUAUGAUGGAGGCUGAUCCUGGCCCCCCCCCCCCAUGUCUCCUUUCACCUCACCCUCUACCCAAGGAGGGGCCACUCACUCCAGCGGCCAGCAGCCAACAGUAUCAGGGUGUGCUGGCCCAGGGAUACAGUGCAAAAGGGGAAACAGAAAUCCCUCAAAUUUCUCUAACGUGGCAGUGGGAUGAUGUGAGUACAUUCAUCUCUAGUCAGCCUCAAGAGCUCCGGCUAAAGCUUCUAAAACAUACGAGUGAAGUUGAGGGGAGAGUGUGGCCUUGGGAGUACAAGGGUCUGGCAACUGUCCUACAUGGGGAGAGUUUGUUGUAGUUGUGGAUUGAAAAUGUUGAACCUCAAAGACUGAUUGGCCGCUGGUCUUCCACUGUGAACGACUUUUGGACAGUGAACUGAAGUAGACCGGGCUGCCACCCUAAGUCAUUCCAGUCAAAUUUAAGAUAUUUAAUGUGUCUGUGUAUUGUGUGUGUAGAAUUUUUGAAGCCCUUAUAUCUUUAGUAUUUAAUACCCAUAAUCAGCAUACAGUAAUGUUCCCCUCCUCCCAUAAGCUUAGUGUCCUUUUGUGCUUCAAAUUCUAUGCUAUAAAAAAAAAAAUAUAUAAA
Molecule: RNA transcript, 5167 nt
Organism: Eriocheir sinensis (Chinese mitten crab)
Lineage: Eukaryota; Metazoa; Arthropoda; Malacostraca; Decapoda; Varunidae
Gene: rdgA
Gene name: eye-specific diacylglycerol kinase-like
Exons: 22
Source: RefSeq, a predicted model, not a curated record